Molecule: ribosomal RNA, 2049 nt
Filed under: Triticum aestivum (bread wheat)
Lineage: Eukaryota; Viridiplantae; Streptophyta; Magnoliopsida; Poales; Poaceae
Description: partial small subunit ribosomal RNA
Source: RNAcentral
AUGACAUCCCUGGCGACGGCGCCGGCGCCGGCGGCGUCGGGCGGGCGGGAGGGCGACGAGAUGGUGAUCACGCCGCUCGGCGCGGGCAGCGAGGUGGGCCGCUCCUGCGUCCACCUGAGCUUCAAGGGGCGCACAGUCCUAUUCGACUGCGGCAUCCACCCGGCGUACCCCGGCAUGGCGUCGCUGCCCUUCUUCGACGAGAUCGACCCCGCCGCCGUCGACGUCCUCCUCAUCACGCACUUUCACCUGGACCACGCGGCCGCGCUGCCAUACUUCCUGGAGAAGACCGCGUUCAAGGGCCGAGUCUUCAUGACCCACGCCACCAAGGCCAUCUACAGGCUGCUGCUCUCCGAUUACAUCAAAGUCAGCAAGGUGUCCGCCGAGAACAUGCUGUUUGACGAGCAGGAUAUUGUCAGCUCAAUGGAAAAAAUUGAGGUCAUAGACUUCCACCAGACACUGGAAGUUAAUGGCAUACGCUUCUGGUGCUAUACUGCUGGGCAUGUACUUGGAGCUGCCAUGUUCAUGGUGGAUAUUGCUGGCGUUCGCAUUCUUUACACUGGUGACUACUCCCGUGACAGGCACCUGAAAGCUGCUGAGAUCCCCCAGUUCUCCCCUGAUAUUUGCAUUAUCGAGUCAACUUACGGUGUGCAGCGACACCAACCCCGCCAUGUCAGAGAGAAGCGCUUCACUGAUGCCAUCCACAACAUUGUUUCUCAAGGGGGCCGUGUUCUUAUCCCAGCAUUUGCUCUUGGUAGAGCACAGGAGCUGCUGCUUAUCCUAGAUGAGUAUUGGUCCAACCACCCAGAGCUCCAUAAGAUUCCAAUCUAUUACGCCUCCCCUCUUGCGAAGAAGUGUAUGGCUGUCUACCAGACAUACAUAAACUCCAUGAAUGACAGGAUCCGCAACCAGUUUGCACGGUCCAAUCCCUUCCAUUUCAAGCAUAUUGACCCUUUGAGUAGCAUAGACAACUUCCAUGAUGUUGGUCCGUCAGUGGUGAUGGCAAGUCCAGGUAGCCUCCAAAGUGGCCUCUCCAGGCAGCUCUUUGACAAGUGGUGCACAGAUAAGAAGAACACAUGUGUUAUUCCAGGUUAUGCUGUUGCUGGCUCCCUUGCAAAGGAGAUCAUCACUGAGCCGAGAAAAGUGCAGCUAGCAAAUGGGCUCACUGCUCCUCUCAACAUGCAGAUCUUCUACAUCUCCUUUUCAGCUCACGCGGAUUUCCCACAGACGAGCGGCUUCCUGGGCGAGCUUCGACCAGCCAACAUCAUUCUUGUACACGGGGAAGCAAAUGAGAUGGGGAGGCUCAGACAGAAGCUGAUCACUCAGUUCGAGGGAACAGACACACAGAUCGUGUCUCCCAAGAACUGCCAACCAGUGCAGCUGUAUUUCAGCUCUGACAAGAUGGCCAAGGCAAUUGGCAGAUUGGCAGAAAAGGUGCCAGAAGUGGGGGAUUCUGUCAGUGGCUUGCUUGUGAAGAAGGGCUUCACGUACCAGAUUAUGGCUCCUGAGGACCUCCGGGUGCACACACAGCUAUCUACCACCAACAUUACCCAGCGGCUCGCUGUCCCGUAUUGUGGUUCUUUUGAAGUCAUCAAGUACAGACUGAGGCAAAUAUACGAGAGCGUGGAAUCAUCAACCGACGAAGCCGAUGUUCCAACACUGAUUGUUCAUGAGAGGGUGACCAUCCGCCUGGAUUCAGAGAGCUACGUGACGCUACAGUGGUCCUCUGAUCCCAUAAGCGACAUGGUGUCUGAUUCCGUGGUGGCUAUGAUCUUGAACAUAGGGCGUGAGGGACCAAAGGCCGUUCCAAUGGAAGAGGAAACAGAGAUGGUGGCGCAGAAGGUGGUGUACGCUCUCAUGGUGUCGGUCUUCGGCGACGUUCAAGUGGCGGGGGAAGGGAAGCUUGUUAUAACUGUGGAUGGGGAUGUCGCGCACUUGGAUGGGAGGAGCGGUGACGUUGAGUGCGCGAACGCAGCGCUGAAAGGGAGGAUCGAGACCGCGUUCCAUCGCAUUCAGGGUGCUGUGAGACCAAUCCCGCUGUCGGCCUCCUGA